This is a non-coding RNA of Solanum lycopersicum (tomato), 1840 nucleotides long. The record is from RefSeq and is a predicted model, not a curated record. Lineage: Eukaryota; Viridiplantae; Streptophyta; Magnoliopsida; Solanales; Solanaceae.
UAACACCUAAAAAUAUUUAUUAUAAUCAGACGUAAACCCAAAUAGUUUUCUACACAGGCGGCGAAUUUGUCAUCAAAUUGAUUAAUAAAAUGCACGGAAUCGGCGGCAUCCAUUACUAUCCGAUUUGGCUCCAUUCAGCAAAUUGAUGAAUGAAAUGAACAGAAUCGGCGCAUCCAUUGUUGUCCGAUUUGGCUCCGUUCAAUUGAUGAAUGAAAUGCACGGAAUCGAAGGCAUCCAUUAUUGUCCGAUUUGGCUCCGUUCAGCUAAUUUAAUUUUCCGGCCGACUGAUUUUGACUGAGGAAUCUCAAAAGUUAAGAGACAAAAAAUAAGUGACGUUGCACGUUGAUUAGCUUUGUCAUUGCGAUCUGAUGAGUAUGAAUAUGGAGCUAGGGUUUGAUCACACAUAUGAAGGUAUAGAAACUUACGACUCACCACCAGAGAUGAAGAACUUGCAGAUCGCCCCUAGAGUGUAUAGUUCUCUCUAGUUCUUCGGAUGAUCUUCAGAUUGAAGAUGCUUUCUCCCCAAUUCCUUGAAUGAUCCCCUUGAGAGAAUCAAAAAUGAAACUGGCCAAGAUUGUUUUAUCGGCCAGUAGGUUCUAUUAUUGUGACAACCAUGUUGGUUUGUUUGAUAAUCCACAACUACAUCCCUUUGGAACUCCAUGAAAAUCUCUUCUUUGGACUAAAAAACAUGUUCACUAAGUUCUUGAAUCAGCUAACGAUGACGAUUGACGAAUUUAAUGGCCUUGUCAACAACGAAAUUCAUGAAGCUGCUGAAAUUUAUUUGAGCAACAAGUUGUCACCUAACAUCCAUCGACUUAAAACUAGUAAGCCUGAGAAGGAGAAGAAUAUCAACAUCGUCAUGGAACGUAAUGAGGAGGUUUACUGAUUUUAAGUCGCUUGAUGUUAGGGGACAACUUGUUGCCCAAAUAGAUUGCAACAGCAUCAUAAAUUUCGUUGUUAACGAGGCCAUCAAAUUCGUCAAUCACCAUCGUUAGCUGAUUUGAGAACUUGGUGAACAUAUUUUUGAGUCCAAAGAAGAGAUACUCAUGGAGCUCCCGGGGGAUGUAGUCGUUAACUAUCGUGCGAACCAACAUGGCUGUUGCCGCAAUAGAGCCUAUUGUCGAUAAAACCAUCUUGGUGGUGGCCAUUUUCGAUUCUGUUGAUGAAGAGGACAUGUUCUAGAAGGACUUUUUUGGCUAGUGUGUGCUCAAGAUUUUGCUACAAGUUUUAGUGUCGUGAUAUAUAGGUUCUGAUCUACAAGAAGGUGAGGGGAAACAGGGUGCAAUUGCAAUUGAGAAAAAUGUCAAAUUUAUAGGAGAAUCAUGUGAAGAAAAGAACAAAAUGGAGUGAGAAAUUGGCCAAUAGGAAAUAGAAAAAAUUGCACCAAGACUAACAAUAUAGUAGUAGUUGGUAUUGACUACGAAGACUUUGAAACUUCCCCCACAUUUGCCCACUAGAAUUUCCUUGCAGGUUACGCCUUUGCCUAUAUUUCAAAUACACUAUUUGUGGGGCUGAGAUAUUGCUAACGAUAAUCAGUGGCGAAGUCAAAAUUUCGUUAAGGGUAUUUAUAUGAAAAACAAGUUGACAUAUUUCGUAUAGUUUUCAACGAAGGGUAUCUGACCAGCCUUAACUAUAUGUGGUCAAGUCAAGGAUAAUCAAUUGAACACCUUUUGUUAGCAACUUAUAUAGUGUAUAUAGGUCAAAUAUUACUCUAUGCAUGUAUAAACACAUUAUGAUAAAUGUUAAAUGCCCUUAACAAUUUUUUUGACUUUACGAUUAUCGACAUGGCAUGUUUCUAUUUGUCACUUAAUAAAAGAUAAUAUGAGGAAAAUGCAAAAUA